GGCAUUGGAUGAAAAAGUUACAUCUUAUCCACUCUCAACCUCAACCUCAAUAUCUUCAAAUAUUGAAAUAAAAUCAUUAUAGUUUAAUCGAGCCCAUUAUACCUACUGGACUUAUAUUCUCCCAUUUUUAAUAAGAUGGAGGAGGAAGGGAAGGAGGCCUUAGUUGCCUUCCUUCUUCAUAACAUGGGCUAGCCGAAGGGAAGGUGGCAGGAAGCUGAAAAGCAUGAAACCAGAGCCGUGAGCCACAAGUAACCAAUUAUCACUUACACACACAAAGCCAUGGAUUAGCUCAAAACCCCAUAUUCCAUUAAUUACAAUAUUAAAUACCUCGUAGAGAGAGAAACACGAAAACGACAAAAACUAAAGCGGACGAUAAUCUUAAGAGAGAGAAACUGGGGACCGCACUCAACUCCCUGACGUCAUCUACCUACACUAACAAUCAAAGCCUCUUCUCUUCACUGUUCCAUUCUUUCAGAUUUUCCUCUAUAAAUCUCUCCCC
Molecule: long non-coding RNA, 499 nt
Filed under: Manihot esculenta (cassava)
Lineage: Eukaryota; Viridiplantae; Streptophyta; Magnoliopsida; Malpighiales; Euphorbiaceae
Description: long non-coding RNA (MESC_LNC008954)
Source: RNAcentral